RNAcentral lists this ribosomal RNA (254 nucleotides) under uncultured bacterium. Its description in RNAcentral is "partial 16S ribosomal RNA". It matches the Rfam family "Bacterial small subunit ribosomal RNA", at positions 524 to 776 of the family's 1533-position model. The record is from RNAcentral.
UACGUAGGGUGCGAGCGUUGUCCGGAAUUAUUGGGCGUAAGGAGCUCGUAGGCGGUGUGUCGCGUCGGUCGUGAAAACUUGGGGCUUAACCCUGAGCUUGCGGUCGAUACGGGCAUCACUGGAGUUCGGCAGGGGAGACUGGAAUUCCUGGUGUAGCGGUGAAAUGCGCAGAUAUCAGGAAGAACACCCGUGGCGAAGGCGGCUCUCUGGAACGCAACUGACGCUGAGACGCGAAAGCGUGGGGAGCAAACAGG